RNAcentral lists this long non-coding RNA (216 nucleotides) under Elaeis guineensis (African oil palm). Its description in RNAcentral is "long non-coding RNA (EGUI_LNC031167)". The record is from RNAcentral. Lineage: Eukaryota; Viridiplantae; Streptophyta; Magnoliopsida; Arecales; Arecaceae.
CACACAUAAUAUGUCAUAAUGAAGCCGGUUCUAAUGCCACUAUUAGAAAAUAUAGAUGAUUUUAUGCAUGUACUUCAAAAAUUUUUAAAAUAAAAUAUAGUAGAAGACAACUAGAUUAAUCAUAUUAACCUCAUAUGCAUAUGAUCUAAUCAUCAAAUCAACCUACUCUAUGAUUUAUGACAUGAUAUAUUGCAUAUAAAAUUUAAAAAUUAGCAA